RNAcentral lists this transfer RNA (71 nucleotides) under Psammoperca waigiensis. RNAcentral describes it as "tRNA-Gly". It matches the Rfam family "tRNA". From Rfam's summary of the family: Transfer RNA (tRNA) molecules are approximately 80 nucleotides in length. The record is from RNAcentral. Lineage: Eukaryota; Metazoa; Chordata; Actinopteri; Centropomidae.
AUCUUUCUAGUAUAAUAAAAGUAUAAGUGACUUCCAAUCACCCGGUCCUGGUUUAAACCCAGGGAAAGAUA